Molecule: non-coding RNA, 135 nt
Filed under: Rhodnius prolixus
Lineage: Eukaryota; Metazoa; Arthropoda; Insecta; Hemiptera; Reduviidae
Description: U4atac minor spliceosomal RNA
Rfam family: U4atac minor spliceosomal RNA
About the family: U4atac is an essential component of the minor U12-type spliceosome complex which is required for removal of the rarer class of eukaryotic introns (AT-AC, U12-type). These interacting stem loops have been shown to be required for in vivo splicing.
Source: Rfam by way of RNAcentral
ACCAUCCAUGUCUUGGGGAGCAAAAUGUCCAAUGAUCGUUAAGUGAGGGCAUUGAUGCUGACACCAUUUAAAUUACUAUUUAUAUUUUAAUCUCUAGUGUAACUGAAGAACAGUUUAGCUGAUAUUUUUAGAAUA